This 460-nucleotide ribosomal RNA is filed under the name uncultured bacterium. Its description in RNAcentral is "partial 16S ribosomal RNA". It matches the Rfam family "Bacterial small subunit ribosomal RNA", at positions 338 to 795 of the family's 1533-position model. The record is from RNAcentral.
CCUACGGGUGGCAGCAGUGAGGAAUAUUGGUCAAUGGGCGCGAGCCUGAACCAGCGAAGUAGCGUGAAGGAUGACUGCCCUACGGGUUGUAAACUUCUUUUAUAAAGGAAUAAAGUGAGGCACGUGUGCCUUUUUGCAUGUAUUUUAUGAUUAAGGAUCGGCUAACUCUGUGCCAGCAGCCGCGGUAAUACGGAGGGUCCGAGCGUUAUCCGGAUGUAUUGGGUGGAAAGGGAGCGUAGAUGGGUUGUUAAGUCAGUUGUGAAAGGUUGCGGCUCAACCGUAAAAUUGCAAUUGAUACUGGCAGUCUUGAGUACAGUUGAGGUAAGCGGAAUUCGUGGUGUAGCGGUGAAAUGCUUAGAUAUCACGAAGAACACCAAUUGCGAAGGCAGCUUACUAAACUGCCACUGACAUUGAUGCUCGAAAGUGUGGGUAUCAAACAGGAUUAGAUACCCUUGUAGUC